RNAcentral lists this ribosomal RNA (86 nucleotides) under Prevotellaceae bacterium. Its description in RNAcentral is "partial 16S ribosomal RNA". It matches the Rfam family "Bacterial small subunit ribosomal RNA", at positions 1448 to 1533 of the family's 1533-position model. The record is from RNAcentral. Lineage: Bacteria; Pseudomonadati; Bacteroidota; Bacteroidia; Bacteroidales; Prevotellaceae.
AGGAGCGACCUAAGGCAAAACCGGUGACUGGGGCUAAGUCGUAACAAGGUAGCCGUACCGGAAGGUGUGGCUGGAACACCUCCUUU